CAUUUUUCUGCUUGUUAUGAGUUACUUCCACCUUAUUUUUCUUUAUUUACAUUAUUCUCCUUUUAUUCACAAGGUCAAAGUUUGUGGUCUAAAAUUAUCUCUUUUUCUUGUCUUAGAGCCAUGCCCUGUGGGGAGAAAGCUCUGCUGUGGUUUUUAGCUCCCAGAAGUCCCAUGAGGCUACUUAGUUAAGCAGCUGUGAAGGCUGCUUUCUUCUGAGGGUGGAGUCCCCGUUUUCAUGGUGGGAAACAGCUCUUACUCCCAGGGCUAUUCAGUGAGCCAUCAGACAGCCUUGCUGCCUCCUCGGCCAGGGAUAUUCUUUUCACCAGAACUGUCAGAGUCAUAGAGUGGAGCCUCCUCGGCCCCUCCACGGGAACACAGACAAGGACUAGGGUUUAUGGGCCUCACUUGGUGGACAGUGUCUUAUCAGAUGUGUGCCUGAUGAACAUCAAAAUUACACAAAGACACCUUUUCUUCAAGCUCAGCACUGAAUUCUAUUUAAACCUUGACUUGAUCAUCUUGCAAGAAUGAAAAAAACAAAGGGCUCAAAGAUGGCACUACCAGUCUGGAAUGCAUGACUGGCUUUAAGGGAAGAAAGAUGCAUCUGGAAGUUAGAGAAAGGGAAGCAGAAUCCAAAGUGGCUGAAGGAAGUAGUGACAAAGAUGGCAUAGCAGGGGCGUGAGGAGCCUCCUGAGCUGUAGCUUUCAACGUUUGCUUGACUGUGGUCCACGAUGAGACCUGCUUUCUACACAGGGCCCCAGGACCUACAGGAUACAUGCAAAUGGGUGACCUGUGUAUGUGCACGGAAGGAUUUACAUAAAUACAGACUUUUAUAAACAGACAACUGAAAAGUUUCAUGAAAUAACACUUAGCCAUACUAGGUGUAAAGCACUCAUCUUUCUAUUUUGAGACUGAGUCUCACUCUAUGGCCCAGGCUGGAGUGCAGUGGCAUGAUCUCGGCUCACUGCAACCACUGCCUCCCACGUUCAAGCGAUUCUUGUGCCUCAGCCUCCCAAUUAGCUGGGAUUAUAGGUGCCCACCUCCAUGCCCAGCUGAUUUUUGUAUUUUUAGAAGAGAUGGGAUUUCACCAUGUUGGCCAAGCUGGUCUCGAACUCCUGACUGACCUCAAGUGAUCUGCCCGCCUCGGCCUCCCAAAGUGCUGGGAUUACAGGUGUGAGCCACUGCUUCCAGUCCUGUUCCACUACAUUCUCUUUCUAUGUCAUUAAAAAUGAUGAUUAUACCCCACCAGUGGGUCACAGUCUACCAUGUGGAAAUCAGUGCUUGUGGCGCUUUAAGUUUCUAUUUAUUAUAUUAACUCUAGAGGCUAAGUGUUAGAUUAUGACAUUGUUCAUUCUUUGGAAAAAAAGAUUUUAUACAUCAAAAAUUUAUAUAUAGUCGUCCCUUGGGAUUCAAAAGGGAUUGGUUCCAGGACCCCUGCAGAUACCAAAAUCCACAGAUGCUCCAGUCUCUGAUAUAAAAUAGUGUAGUAUCUGCGUAUAACCUACGCACUUCCUCCUGUACACUUUAAAUCAUCUCUAGAUUACGUAUAUUUAAUACAAUGUAAACGCUAUGAAAAUAGUUGUGAUACUGUAUUGUUUAGGGAAUAAUGACAAGGAAGGAAAGUCUGUACAUGUUUAGUACAAACACAACUAUCCAUUAAAAAAUAGACAUUCGGCUGGGCGCAGUGGCUCAUGCCUGUAAUCCCAGCACUUUGGGAGGCCGAGGUGGGCGGAUCACGAGGUCAGGAGAUCGAGACCAU
Symphalangus syndactylus (siamang) is the source of this 1756-nucleotide long non-coding RNA. RefSeq lists it as uncharacterized. Lineage: Eukaryota; Metazoa; Chordata; Mammalia; Primates; Hylobatidae. The record is from RefSeq and is a predicted model, not a curated record.